AAUCUGAAGGUACAAAGUCAGGGCUAUAUGGUGGAUGUGACAACACGUCCCAACCUAAGUUCCAAUCAUUCUUGGCGAGUGACCAAAGAUGUGUGGGGCUUUGCAUUAUCAUGCUGGAAAACAACACCCUUACGAUUUGCCAAUUCUGGCCUCUUUUCUUCAACUGCAUCGCUCAGUUUGGCGAGUUGUUCAACGUACACGUUUGAAUUAAUCGUUUGGUUUCUUGGUAAAGCCAAGCUGUUUUAAUUUUUUUCAAUGCAUGUAUGCGAUACACCGAGCUUCUCUGCAAUCUCACGCGUUGUGCUAUGACGAUCUGAAUCGAUAAUGGCCUUGAUAUGGGUCUCAUCAACUUCAACUGGACGGCCAGAUCGUUGAGCAUUUUUUAGUGAAAAAUCACCGGAACGAAAUUUGGCAAACCUAUUUUGACUCUGCCUUUCUUUCAAGGCUUCAUUCUCAUAUAAGUCACAUAACUUCUUGUGUGCUUGCAAUGCCCUUUCGGAAAUAAUACAAUAAAAUAUGUCUGAAAUGCGCGUCUUGUUCUUCCAUUUUUAAAUUGGGAUAAAAACGAAACUAAAUAACUAAUCGAUACAAUUUUUUUACUAAAUUAAAGGUGAAA
Molecule: unclassified non-coding RNA, 616 nt
Filed under: Bombus terrestris (buff-tailed bumblebee)
Lineage: Eukaryota; Metazoa; Arthropoda; Insecta; Hymenoptera; Apidae
Description: misc RNA ENSBTSG00005024474.1
Source: RNAcentral